ACUUCGUUUGCUCUUAUGGACCAUUUGGAUGUGGAGUACUACCUUAGGUGUGAUGAUUAGAUUACCCUGUCUAGCAAGGGUUUCUUAAGGUAUGCAAGGCUUCUUCCUGAUGAAGACUUAAUAAAAGGCAUGGCUAGUGCUGACGAAAAGAAAUUGUAGUGAAACGAAGUUGAUAGUCUGCUUUUGAACGGUGUAGCACUGGAUCAGAGUUCAUCUAUUGAAACCUUUACUCCAAAUGAUCAACUGAUGUACAGGAUUUUUGCACCGUGUUUUGUCCUGCAAAGUGUAUUCCUAAACAACAGAGUUGCUUUAAGAGAAUUAACACUGAAUUACAUAGGGGUGAAGCUGGAAGGCACUUCUGGAGGUCCAACCCCUGUUCAAGCAGAGUCAUCCAGAGCUUAUAAAGAACUCCAAGGAGGAGACUCUACAACCUUUCUGGACAAUCUCUCUGUGCCAGUGUUCCAGCACCUGCUCAACACAGAAUUGCUUCCUGAUCUUCAGGAAUAAUCUCCUUUGUCCCAGUUUGUGCCCAUUAUCACCUGUUCUAGCACUCUGCAGCACUGAAAAGAGCCCAACUCUGUCAUGUGUGUGCUCUCCCUUUAGGUGUUUAUAGAAAUUGAUGAGAUCUCUCUCUGGAUAGGCGACAAAUUUAGAGAAUCUUACAUUAAAGACAAUGUGAUUUUCAGCUAAUAAUUCCACACAAAAUGUUGUUUUGAUUUUUUUUUUAAAGAAUGCUACUUUAUGAUAAA
Long non-coding RNA from Tympanuchus pallidicinctus (lesser prairie-chicken), 749 nucleotides. RefSeq lists it as uncharacterized. NCBI's taxonomy places the organism in Eukaryota, Metazoa, Chordata, Aves, Galliformes, Phasianidae. The record is from RefSeq and is a predicted model, not a curated record. The transcript is spliced from 3 exons.